GACGAACGCUGGCGGCGUGCUUAACACAUGCAAGUCGAACGGAAAGGCCCCUUUGGGGGUACUCGAGUGGCGAACGGGUGAGUAACACGUGAGUAACCUGCCCUUGACUUCGGGAUAACUUCAGGAAACUGGGGCUAAUACCGGAUAGGAAUCCUUGCUGCAUGGUGGGGGUUGGAAAGCUUCGGCGGUUUUGGAUGGAUUCGCGGCUUAUCAGCUUGUUGGUGGGGUAGUGGCUUACCAAGGCUUUGACGGGUAGCCGGCCUGAGAGGGCGACCGGCCACAUUGGGACUGAGAUACGGCCCAGACUCCUACGGGAGGCAGCAGUGGGGAAUAUUGCACAAGGGGCGGAAGCCUGAUGCAGAAACGCCGCGUGCGGGAUGACGGCCUUCGGGUUGUAAACCGCUUUCAGCAGGGGCGAAGCUUGUGGUGACGGUACCUGCAGAAGAAGCACCGGCUAACUACGUG
RNAcentral lists this ribosomal RNA (465 nucleotides) under uncultured bacterium. RNAcentral describes it as "partial 16S ribosomal RNA". It matches the Rfam family "Bacterial small subunit ribosomal RNA", at positions 28 to 507 of the family's 1533-position model. The record is from RNAcentral.